CUCUCUCUCUCUCUUGCUCUCGCUCUCUCUCUCUCCCCCUCUCUCUCUCUCUCCUUCCUUUAUAAACUCUAACCAUAGCUGUGUUCUCGAAGCUACUUCCUAAAUCAACAUUAUGAUCCUCGAGUUCGAUCGAGCUUCUUCAAUCGUGUAACAGAUCUCCAUUCUCAUUUCUGACCACACCUCCUAUACCAGUUUUGCCAGUUUCCAUAACAUAACUUCCAUCAGUAUUUGUUGCCAAUUUUGAGGUUAUUUAGAUGUAACACUGUGUUAUAGCUACAUGCCUUUUUCUUUCAAUUCUCUCUCUAAUUAAUGAGUGUAUUAAUAGUGCAUAAUAUGCAGCGGCAAGUAAUACAUACUUAAUUGUGGUCUGAUACAUCUCCGAUUUCACCUUAACUAUUUGCAAAUGCAAGGAGAGAAUUACUUUCAUGACUUCAAGUUUAUAUCUCUGUGGUUAAGAGAAAUUUUUGUUGCUCGAUGAGAAUGGUUUGUCUGCCGUCUAGUAGUGGUUGCUGUUUUCAGCAGAAUGUUAACCAGUGGUCUUGAGUUCUUUUCUUUCCUAUUCUUUUAAACCAUAUUUAUUUAUGUGUAUAUAGAGGAUACACCACAUAAAGUAUUUUUCCGUUAGAAAGAACUGGAAUUACAUAUUUUGCUGCAUUUGAACCCGAGGUUCAUUAUCAAUUCUAGUGUUGUAUCUCUUGAUAAAGGUGACAAUGAAGAUGUUCUA
RNAcentral lists this long non-coding RNA (724 nucleotides) under Nicotiana benthamiana. RNAcentral describes it as "long non-coding RNA (NBEN_LNC013105)". The record is from RNAcentral. Lineage: Eukaryota; Viridiplantae; Streptophyta; Magnoliopsida; Solanales; Solanaceae.